Molecule: ribosomal RNA, 561 nt
Filed under: uncultured bacterium
Lineage: Bacteria
Description: bacterial SSU rRNA
Rfam family: Bacterial small subunit ribosomal RNA
Source: RNAcentral
CCUACGGGAGGCAGCAGUUAGGAAUAUUGGACAAUGGGCGAAAGCCUGAUCCAGCCAUGCCGCGUGUGUGAUGAAGGCCCUAGGGUUGUAAAGCACUUUCGUUGGGGAUGAUAAUGACCGUACCCAAAGAAGAAGCACCGGCUAACUUCGUGCCAGCAGCCGCGGUAAUACGAAGGGUGCAAGCGUUGUUCGGAAUCACUGGGCGUAAAGAAUGCGUAGGCGGCUUAACAAGUCGGGAGUGAAAUCCCAGGGCUCAACCCUGGAACUGCUCUCGAAACUGUUUUGCUAGAGUCCCGGAGGGGUUAGCGGAAUUCCGAGUGUAGAGGUGAAAUUCGCAGAUAUUCGGAGGAACACCAGUGGCGAAGGCGGCUAACUGGACGGGAACUGACGCUGAGGCAUGAAAGUGUGGGGAUCAAACAGGAUUAGAUACCCUGGUAGUCCACACCGUAAACGAUGUGUGCUAGUUGUCGGGCAGCUUUGCUGUUCGGUGACGGAGCUAACGUUUUAAGCACACCGCCUGGGAAGUACGGCCGCAAGGUUAAAACUCAAAUGAAUUGACGG